CAAAUGAAUUGACGGGGCCCGCACAAGCGGAGGAACAUGUGGUUUAAUUCGAUGAUACGCGAAGAACCUUACCAGGGCUUGACAUCCCCUGACCGCGUAUGAAAGUACGUUUUCACCUUCGGGAGACAGGGAGACAGGUGGUGCAUGGUUGUCGUCAGCUCGUGUCGUGAGAUGUUGGGUUAAGUCCCGCAACGAGCGCAACCCCUACGUUUAGUUGCUAACGCGUGAAGGCGAGCACUCUAGACGAACUGCCGUUGACAAAACGGAGGAAGGUGGGAUGACGUCAAAUCAUCAUGCCCCUUAUGUUCUGGGCUACACACGUGCUACAAUGGCCGGUACAGACGGACGCAAAGCCGCGAGGCGGAGCAAAUCCGAAAAAGCCGGUCUCAGUUCGGAUUGCAGGCUGCAAUUCGCCUGCAUGAAGUCGGAAUCGCUAGUAAUCGCAGGUCAGCAUACUGCGGUGAAUACGUUCCCGGGCCUU
RNAcentral lists this ribosomal RNA (481 nucleotides) under uncultured Pelotomaculum sp. RNAcentral describes it as "bacterial SSU rRNA". It matches the Rfam family "Bacterial small subunit ribosomal RNA", at positions 902 to 1382 of the family's 1533-position model. Lineage: Bacteria; Bacillati; Bacillota; Clostridia; Eubacteriales; Desulfotomaculaceae. The record is from RNAcentral.